AUGAAGAACGCAGCGAAAUGCGAUACGUAGUGUGAAUUGCAGAAUUCCGCGAAUCAUCGAGUCUUUGAACGCAAGUUGCGCCCGAGGCUUGUCCGAGGGCAUUUCCGCUAGAGCGUCACCGCGCCCCCCCACCGAUCCACUCCCGGCGAGUCGGGUCGAGUGAAAGUGGCCAUCCCGGACGGAGGGCGAUGCCUUCCCCGAAGGGUUGGCUGAAAUGGAAGGAAUUAGGCCGCCGUGGUGACGCAGUCCGCGAUCGGGUGAUAGGAUCCGUGCUCCCCUCCGGGGUGAGUCCGGAUUUUUUCUAAGUGCGUGGCUGCGUCCCCCAGUCGGUCUUGGGUUACCUCAUGCAGGUCGAGCGCGCCCCCCCUCGUCGCUCCUUCGGGAGAGCGAGGCGGCGCGCGUCACGCAUCAGACCUCUAAUCGGAAAAGACUACCCGCUGAGUUUAAGCAUAUCAAUAAGCGGAGGA
RNAcentral lists this ribosomal RNA (467 nucleotides) under Leucodon sciuroides. RNAcentral's name for it is "eukaryotic LSU rRNA". The stretch from base 1 to 118 matches the Rfam family "5.8S ribosomal RNA", at positions 36 to 154 of the family's 154-position model. The record is from RNAcentral. Lineage: Eukaryota; Viridiplantae; Streptophyta; Bryopsida; Hypnales; Leucodontaceae.